Mercenaria mercenaria is the source of this 550-nucleotide long non-coding RNA. RefSeq lists it as uncharacterized. NCBI's taxonomy places the organism in Eukaryota, Metazoa, Mollusca, Bivalvia, Venerida, Veneridae. The record is from RefSeq and is a predicted model, not a curated record. The transcript has 2 exons.
GACAGUAAAGUUGGUAGGCAGUUGGUAGUUGGUAGUUGAACAUUCGAAUAACCAACUACUUACUAGUUGCCAGUUGGUUAUUCAAAAUGUAUAAGCAAGUCUGAUUACCUUUUAAAACAUAAUGAUAAAAAAAUCAUUUUAAUCCAUGUUUUCAGUCUCAAAAAGUACCUUGAGAGCCAGUUGCCAAUUCGCGAUAUGUUUCAGAAAAGCUUUUUUUUUCAGUCACAAAUGGAUAAAAUUAUUCCAUAUGACAUUUUAUAUCGUUUUUCAUAUCAAUAUCUGACACUUUCAACAUAAAGACCAGUCUUGGAAACACUAAGGAGAGCCAGUUGCCAAUUCGCGUGCGAAUAACCAACUGCCUACUGGUAGGCAGUUGGUUAUUCGACAUUUUACAUACAGUCAGUGUUUUGGUAGAACAUGAUAAAAAAUUUAUUCUAACCCUUGUUUUGUUGUUGUUUUAUGUUAGUAUUUAUUCUUUUAAAUGCAUUCAACAGUCUCAAAAUGUACCAGGAGAGCCAGUUGCCAAUAUGAAUAAAAUAAUUCAAUUUUA